CAUGUUUGCCUACGUCCGGUUUAUCGACGACAACAUCCGUCAGAUUGUUCCCUUGGACCAUAUAAAAGACUUCUGUCCACAGGACGUCAAGGAUUUUGAAAUAAAGAAAAAAUAUCAUAUUUUGUGGAAGAAAUCCGCAGAGGACCAGGGACAAUACUACAAAGCACAGAUAUUAAAAUUGGCUGAAACUGAAGAGGAAUUAACUCGUGAGAGAAUCUCGAUACCCCCACUCGAUAGUGAUGAGGAAGACCGGUCAUCCUCGAGAAGGUCCAUGAAUCCAUCUUGUGACAACACAAAUGACAAGAAAAAAAAAAGGCAGCAGUCCAAAGCAUUAAAAAAAGGAAGAAUUUAAUGGAUAUCCUAAAAGAAAAGAAAAAAGUUAUCCAGACCAGUUUUGAAUCACAAGAGGAACAUGUCCCCAUGGCUGUGCACAAGGAACUGCAAGACAAAUACUACAACCUAAAAAAAAGGAUGCGAGAGGAGGAGAUGUCUAAUGAAGAAAACGAGAAAACAAUUAAAUUUUUAAAAGAAGAGAAAAGGGACAUGAAGGCUGAACUGCAGCAACUAAGGUGGUUAAACCUAAAUCUCCAAGAGGAGCUUUACAAAAAAAAAAAAAUAACACAGAAUGAGACCUCUUCUGCAGUCCAUACUCCACUCCCUCAACGGCCAUUUCAUGGUACAGAAAAACUAGCAGAAAAGCAAACAGAGAUGAUACCCAAAAGUGAGCAUUUUCAAACUGUUGGGCUAUUAAUUUUACAUGCAUUUUUUUAAGGUUCUUAGAUAGAAAUGGACACUUUCAAAUGUAACUUAAAGGCUGUGAUUUUACCCUUUUUUGGAACAAAAAUUA
RNAcentral lists this long non-coding RNA (847 nucleotides) under Carassius auratus (goldfish). RNAcentral describes it as "lncRNA (ENSCARG00000067197.1)". The record is from RNAcentral. Lineage: Eukaryota; Metazoa; Chordata; Actinopteri; Cypriniformes; Cyprinidae.